RNAcentral lists this long non-coding RNA (466 nucleotides) under Nicotiana tabacum (common tobacco). Its description in RNAcentral is "long non-coding RNA (NTAB_LNC008730)". The record is from RNAcentral. Lineage: Eukaryota; Viridiplantae; Streptophyta; Magnoliopsida; Solanales; Solanaceae.
CUGACUUCUUUAAUUCUUCAUCCUCAUUCUCCAGGUGGACCCUGACUUCUUCAAUUGUCAUCCUCAUUUUCCAGGUGGACGCCUGACUUCUUCUUUUCUUCGUCCUCAUUCUCCAGGUGGACGCCUGACUUCUUUAAUUCUUCAUCCUCAUUCUCCAGGUGGACGCCUGACUUCUUCUUUUCUUUGUCCUCAUUCUCCAGGUGGACGCCUGACUUCUUUUUCUUUGUCCUCAUUCUCCAGGUGGACGCCUGACUUCUUUAAUUCUUCGUCCUCAUUCUCCAGGUGGACGCCUGACAUCUUUAAUUCUUCACCAUGUAUUUCCUAACAUAAAUAUUGUAUUUGCCCCUGUUUUAAAUCAAAGAAAACUUCGUUAGUUUAAAGCAAGGUGGUUGACUGGGGUAUUCUUGCCGAUUGUGAUGCUCCUCUUCGUCUCUCUUUAUUGCCUUGGAAUGGUUUAAAAGACUGU